CCUACGGGAGACAGCAGUGGGGAAUAUUGGACAAUGGACGAAAGUCUGAACCAGCCAAGUAGCGUGAAGGAUGACUGCCCUAUGGGUUGUAAACUUCUUUUAUAUGGGAGUAAAACAGGGUAUGCAUACCCUCUUGUAUGUACCAUAUGAAUAAGGAUCGGCUAACUCCGUGCCAGCAGCCGCGGUAAUACGGAGGAUCCGAGCGUUAUCCGGAUUUACUGGGUGUAAAGGGAGCGUAGGGGGUUUGGUAAGUCAGUUGUGAAAGUUUGCGGCUCAACCGUAAAAUUGCAGUUGAAACUGGCAGUCUUGAGUACAGUAGAGGUGGGCGGAAUUCGUGGUGUAGCGGUGAAAUGCUUAGAGAUCAAGAAGAACACCGAUUGCGAAGGCAGCUCACUGGACUGCAACUGACACUGAUGCUCGAAAGUGUGGGUAGCAAACAGGAUUAGAUACCCCUGUAGUC
RNAcentral lists this ribosomal RNA (460 nucleotides) under uncultured bacterium. RNAcentral describes it as "partial 16S ribosomal RNA". It matches the Rfam family "Bacterial small subunit ribosomal RNA", at positions 338 to 795 of the family's 1533-position model. The record is from RNAcentral.